GACAUGUUGAUCUCCCGAGGUCGGGCAUGUCCCCGGAAAGUGUGUCCUGCCGGAGUUGAUCGAGCGUGUUGGGAAAUGUGGUGCACCCCUUCACGGAUGAAUUGAACUAUUCCAAUAGUCGUGUCCACGGUAACAGGACGACUUGUAGUUGUAUCCCGAUCUAAUACAACUAGAAUUGUGACUUAACUUGAAUGUUGGCUGUGAGAUUGCUUUCUCACACGGAGUCGAGAAAGGAUCUCUCGGCGUACUUAAUAAAUUUGCUGCAACAAUAUGACUACAUGUGUCUUACUCAUCUGUACUCUUCUAAUGCUGCAAGGCAGUGAAUAUGCUAGUCUUGAAUAGGACAAGGCCUUCUCUCUAUUCUCGCAUUGUUGCAGUCAGUCCAAAGUUAAGCCCCUUCCUUUGAUACUUAUGCAUACUUAUCAUAGUGCUGAUGUCAGUCUUGCGAGUACUUUGGAUGAGUACUCAUCGUUGCUUUGCUCCCUCUUUUCCUCUUGAUGCGAUUCUCAUGCCCAGAAGACAGAACCCAGGAGAUGGCUCGCCCUGUCGACGAAUACUAUCCCAAUGGAGCCUACUAUUAUGUGGAGGCCGCUGAUGACCCGGAGUAGUUAGGAGGCUCCGAGGUAGGAGACCUUGCGUUUUUGUUCUAUUGCUUGUGUUUGUUCUAGCCUUCUUAAGGCAAAACAUGUUUACUUAUGUCUGUUCUCACAUAUUGUUUGCUUCCGCUAACUCGUGUGUAUUAGAGCUUAUAUAUUCGAGCCCUCGAGGCCCUUGGCUUGUAAUAUCAAGUUUGUAUGACUUUAAAUUGUGUCUAGAGUUGUGUUGUGAUCUCUUCCCGUGAGUGCCUAAUCUUGGUCGUACGCAUUUGCUUGUAUGAAUGGCGUACGAUCAAAAUGAGGGUGUCACAAAUUGGUAUCAGAGCCGACUGCCUGUAGGUAGCCCCCUUUGCAACUCCUUGGCCGAAGUUGAGACUAGUACUUGAAAACUUUUACUAACAUUGUUGUGUGGCUUACGGGGCCACAUCUCAAUCGGGUGGUAUUAGGAUCUUUUGCUCCUCCUAUAUAAUGUGGGUUCUUAUCUCUCUUUUAUUUCAGGUUAAAGACUUUGCUAACUCUAACUCUAGGUUAUCAUAAUUACUUCCUCCGAGAAAGCCACUCCUUCCAAAUGAUGGCUUGAUUCAUCAGAAGAGUUCAAAGGUACGCCCUGAUGUUCUCUCGAGAACUUGUGCUCAUCGCUUUUACGUUUCCCUUCCUCCAUCAACCCCUAUGGAUGUUUAGAUACAAUUGUCACCCAUAUUUCAUUACGAGUUACUCUUGUUUUUAAAAGCUAAAACGGAUUAUCUUACCGGGGAUUUGUUCGUCCUCAGUUGUCAUGUGUUUUGCAAAAUUCGUUGAAAUGAUAUUUGAUCUUCUGAAAUCCUCGGUUGCCUAUUGCUCUUGACCUUUCUCACCUGCUUGCAUUAUGGUUAGUUCCAUAUGUCUAGCAACAUUCUUUAAAAUCUUUGUGAUCGUCCUUUGAUCUUAUAGAUUCAACCCGUGUCUGAAUGCUCACAAUCAUCAGUUGGUCCUCAUAAAUUAUCUGUUCGUGUCAUACGUCUUUCCUAGCAGGAGUUGGUUCGCGGCAAAUCGACCUUGAUUGAUUGUCCAUCUAAGUCAAUUUCAACUUACUUGUAUUUGAUCGGAGCAUCUGAUUCUGAUACACCAACUUGGAAAUUAUAAUUCCUUUGGUAUUUAAGUAUCGAUGUAACUCACAUGAUCUCUAAUCCAGUGCCUUGCAUUUCUUCUUCCUCUGAUUGGGUACCGAUACUCAAAUGAGGUACUUUGUGGAGAGUCAGACCCAUUGUUGGGUUAUUAUCCGAUGGCAUCCUUCAAAUUCAAAAUUCUUGUGAUAUUGUUCCCCUACUACAUGAUGCCAUUGGUAAAUUAUGUCUUCUCCCACUGAUAAGUUGUGUCCUAUGCUUUUGUCAGCCAUGAUCUUCAAGCAUGUGUUAAUUUGUAGCGACCCGACUCAAAAUGAGUCAAGCCUGUGUGUAUCUGUGCCAUCCCUGGAUCAGUAUGCUGGCACACACAGUACAUCAAUGUAUAUAUCAAAGUGCAAUCACAUGUAAAUAACGUAAAACUGAUAUAUACCUCAAAAUCUAAGCGGAAAGAGUCAAAGGGAGUGGAGUCCCAAUAAACACCAACGGCAGGUUGAGUGCAGACCGUAACCUUGAAUCGUACUCUUACUCUUCGAAGAAAGUAUCUGCAACAUAAGAUGUUGCAGCCGUGUAGGUCAGCAUAUUGAAUAUGCCGACAAGUCACAAAAGAGAGGUUGUGAAAAAUAUCAUCUAUACUAUAUGCAUAUAUGGCAAGUGGGGUUGUAGUUUAAGUUUUGCGUAAAGCAACUUUUUCCUACAAUAAGAGAGAGGGUAAAAGCAAAAAUUUCUACAUUGUUGGUUCUUAAUGAGAUGGUUCCACCAACCAUAUCUCAUACAAUCAUUCUAACAAUCAAUAUCACGACAACAAAUAUUCGUCACUCUCCGAUGAAAUCUAUAUAAUUAAACAUAGUAUUCACAUAAGCAAUUAUACCAGCAAUCAUUCUAACAAUCAACAUCACGACAACAAAUAAAAAUUAUCCAAUAAAUCAAAUCAAACGAGAAUCCAAAAAAAACUUCAAAGAAAACUUUGGAGCCUUCUACUAAAACAAUCACUAAGUUGUUUUUGUUCUAAUGAAACUUAACAAAAAAUAAAACACUAAAAUAGUAAAAUAACAGAAAAGAAAAUAUAAAAUAACUAAGAUAACAUAAGUAAAAUUUACAAAACAAUAUUAUUUUGAAUCUAUUUUCAAAUAAGAAUUCAAACUAGCAAUGAAAUCAAUUCGCAAGUUAGUAUAGAACUGGAAUUGAUUCCAUGCAAACAAAUAAGAAAAAAUAAANAAAAACAAAUUAAGAACAAUUAAUAGAAAAGAUAUAGCAAGAAAACUAAAAAGGCUAAAACAGAAUCUGUUUUGCUUAAAACCCUAGUUUAAAAUAUUCUAAAAAUUCUGAAAUUAUACCUACUGAUAAAUAAGAACACUAGUGGUCAGUAGAAAAAAGAACCAACUCAAAAGCUAUUUUUAAACUCCUGAUAUUCACAAAACAAUGUUUAAAUCAAAUCUAUUUAAAUUCAAAAUUUAAAAAUUGAAAAAUAUUUUUUUUUGGGUCCACGGGAUAGAUGGGAUUUUGAUGAAUCGGUAUAAAAAAGAAUCACUGGAUUUGGAGUUGUAGACUAAUAGAUAUGAAUUUUAUAAGUUUGCUCUUUUUGUGAAAAACAAAUUGUUACGGGAUUUUUGAAGCUCACCAGAGAUAGUCGCCGAACAUGGAGAAGACGACAGGGAGGUGGCUCCGGUGGCCGGCCGAGGCAACGGAGGGGUCCAGGUGGAGGAGGAGGGCUCCGGCUAAAGGUUGGUGGUGCCGGCGGGGUGUGGGGGCGACGGGAGGAGGCAACACCAGGAGCUUUUCGAGCUUCGGCUGGGGCGGUCUCCGGCGAGGUGGCGGGGAAGUUGCGGCAAGGGAUUCGGGCGGCUCUCGUGGGGAACGGAGCGAGCAGGAGGAGAGGAGUUCUUAUAGGGGCUCGGGAGGGGCUGAGAUGGGAGGGGCAGGGAGAUACCCUCGGAUCCGGUGAGGUCACUCGUGGCGUACGGGUGCACGGUAGAAGGAAGGAGGAGAUCGUGAGGAAGAAUAAGAAGAUACAGGCCACAUUCGGUACGGGCCCAUGGCAGUUUUCCUAUUAAAAUUAAAUUUCCUUUUAUUUGAAAAUCGGAAAGAAACCCUUCGAUAGGAAAUAAAUAAUAGUCCGAAAAUAUAAGUAUAAUAUAUCAACAUGAUCAAAAAACAAUUUCCCAUAACGUGAACAUUUUCUUUUGCCCAAAAUAAAAACUUAAAAAAACAUCUUUUUUAAAUCCAAUAAAAACCAAACUUUGUCUUUUAAAAAUGUUGGCACUAUUUUUCUUCUGACUUUUUGGGGUGUCAUGCUACCUCUCUUUCUUGCUUGGCGAGAUAAUUGUCACGCAUUUUGUGAGUGAAAAAUCUUGUCCCAAAAAUAAAUGCAAAUCAUAUACCGAAAGAAAAUUCAAAUACCACCAUCAUUCAAAUUCUUUAUAGUAGAAGAAGUCACGUUGUCUUCUCUCACUGAUUUUAAGUGGAUGAAUUUGAAUUCAUAGGAAAAGGGGAAAGUCAUUUUAUUCCCUCUCAAUCAAAAGUUUUUUUUUAAGUUUCAAAUUUUCACUCAAAUUAAAUCACUCAAUCUAUCAAACCAUGAAUCAACUAUUUAUUAUAACAUUCCAAAAUUUUGGGAUGUUACAAACCUACCGCACUUAAAAUAAAUCUUGUCCUCGAGAUUCGAAGAGGCUAGAAAGAAAAGGUUAGGGUUUGGGGGUCUUCUAACAAAUCCAAUUUCCUGCAAGGUGGGGUGCUACCACACUUAAAAUGAGAGUUAUCGGUCCCUCAAAAUCCGAUGUCUUUACGUUGAUAUAAGCUUCUUCCGUUACUUGGUCUUCUUAACUCACAAGUCUCUUAACCAUUCUAAAUAACCUACCGAUGAUUCUCAUUGUGGUCUACCAUUUGUGGUUAUCCUGUAGUGAGAAGGGUCCUGGCUUCAUCGUCACCGUAAAAUUUCCUAUGUGUGACAACAAAUGCCAUGUACAUGGGCUUUCAUCAUACCAUUUCUAAGGCUCAAACAAAAGCUUCAAAGCGUGUCGUCUCUCAAUAUGGGUAAGUCUUUCAGAUUUACCAUUUCGAAUAGCAAGAGAAUGAUAAGAGUAAUUCAUCAUGGUGGCCAAGCCAUGUCGCACUGAAAUCAUUACCUUGUAUAAGGUUUAGUAAAUCUCGUACUCUAACACUUGGGCGUGCUCACAAGCAUUGCAUAAUUUCUCUUGUACACGAACAAAGUUUGGAUAAAUCCAAUGAUUCUGCAAGCUAAACAAACAUCUAUCAUUUCUUCAUAACUCUCGGGUUUUUCGUAUGCUCUUAAUAAAAUGUUUGCUGAUCCAUCAUAGCUUAUUCCUUCAUGCUCUUGGCGCAACCUACAUGAAAGUCUUGGGCUGCAACCUUGGUACCGAUUGAAUUCCUUGAACUCAUUUUUCCUUGCCAUUGGUUUGUUUACCAAUAAAAGUGUUUAUUCCUCAUAUUAAAUCUCUCCUCAAAUUUCAAUUCCAAGGUACAUGAUUCAUCUGUUGUCACCCCCAUAGUUUGAUAUGAUCCAGCAUUUCCUUCAAUUGUAUUCAGUGGGUUUGACUCCUUGGUAUGCAUGGUACACUCUUAUUUAUUGGGUCCUGUGGGUUUACCGAUUACUACCACACUUAAAAUCAAAUAUACUCAUGCCUGUAUAGACCAUAUUUUCUCAUAUCCUCGAAAAUGGUAAGAGAUCUUUGUUCAUAGAGAAACAACUCAUAAAAUUUCAACGUAGGAAAACAUGACACAACAAAUUCCCAUUGAUUCAUGAGGCUAUUACAACCUCAGAGACUUCUGUUACAAAAUUUAACUCCAUAAUCUCAUGAAGACAAAAGGGCUUCAUGUUACACUUAUUGCCAUUGUCAAAACUUAACUACUCCAUUUCAACUUUCUUCCCUUGUGGACAAUUACUAGCAUAAUGUCCUGCUUCCUUGCAAUGAAAACAAAUGAGUUCUGACAAGUCUUGGGGCUUCUUGGUGUUUGCUUUUGCUCCUUGGGUUUCCUGCUUCCUUCUUAGGCACAUAUUGAUGUAGUGGCCUAAUUCCUUACACUUGAAACAUGUGAUAUGACUCAGGUAUUUAUGUGCAGGGAUUUGACUCUGGCUGGUGUAUUUUCUCUUCUUUCCAGACUCCUUCAUUCUGGCCAGUUCUUUUAUUUCAAGUGGAUCAAACUCUACUUUUUCUAUUGGUAAGUCUCCCAGGUAUUUAUGGCUUUCCUUCGUGCAAUCCUCUGAAAAAUGUCCUUCUCCUCCACAUGAGUAACAGGCAUUGGAGAAAAAUCUGGUUAGGCCUUGUCCAUCAGGGUCUUCAAUAUUUUCCUUCAUCACAUGUUCUUCUAAAGUCUUCUUCUUGAGUGUUUCCUUCAUGGCUUCUUUCUGCUGCUUGACAACUUGUUGCACCUUGGGGUAAAUGUGACACUGAGCUGGGUAGUGGGUGGUUCCUUCACACAAGAAACAAGUCACUUGACUAGUUGGGCAUUCCACCGUUGGGUGAUUUUCUUCACAAUGAGGGCAUCCAUCCUGGUGUUCUUCCUGGGUGUGUCCUAUUUCUCCAUAGAUCUUGCAUGCACGAGGCUUCUUCACCGGGUUAUCAUAGCACUUUUGUAUCAGACGGGAUUUUAACAGAGUCUUCUUGAAUUCGUCCCAGGUUUUUACUCCACUAAAUCCUUGUAUGGCAUGAUGCAUUUUCCACCAGAUAGAAGCACCUUAGGUAAAGUACCAAAGAGUGUGUGCCACUUCAUACUUCCUUGAAAUCAAAUUGCUCCCGAAGUGGUUUUCCAUGUUCUGAAUCCACAUUUCAACUUCCAGCUGGGUCAUUGGUCCAGAGAUUAAGCUUCGUACGCCAUCUAUUGGUUCCAAGGUUUUUGGGAAGAGAUGGGUAAGAGAGAGAGAGAGGGAAAAGAUAUAAACAAAAGACACAAAAGCAUAUAAUAUCAAAUCCACACAUUCAUAAAGUUAAAUCAAUAAUAUAGUAUCGCCACCCACAUAAGGUUGGUAUGGUCGGUCACACGAUAUGCAAUAACGUUCAUCUUUAUUUCUCUCGGUGGGGCUACUACUACUAAGCUAGCUCAUAUCACGUCUUCAUCAUCAAUGGGCUUCUUCUGGUCAGGCUUGAUCUUCUCAAGUUCUUCUGCCAGAUAUUCCCUAUUGACGCGGAGUUUCCGAUGUCGUCCUUGUAGUUCCAGGAGUUGGUUCUUGAGCUUCUGGAUUUCAACAUCACCAGCAUGUGCCAUGGCUUGACUAUUCUUCAAGUCUUGACAAAGCUUCUCAAUCUCGGGAUCGUGUUUCUUCACAUUGGCUACCUUCAGUUUCUCGGUCUUGAGACUCCCACGGAGUGCUUCAUUCUCAAACAAUUCCGAGAGAAGGUCCAGUUGAAGGUUCUUGACAUAAUGUUGGAGUUCUUGAUUAUACACCAAUACAGGUGAAAACUUCACCUUCUUCUCGUCUGUCAGGAUGAUGUGUGCUCCCUCAGGCUUCUGCCAUCCAAGCCUUCCAAAGUAGUGAGUACCCAACUCAACACGAUGACGAUAGCUCAAACGUGUGAUAGCAUCAUGAACAUGAGUGUUCAUGCCCAUAUCACAGUCAUGGGUCAAUGUGCCAUAGUUGAUGUCUUCAGUCUUGGUGUCUUCUUUAUGUCCAAAAUUUUUAGUUCUGACACCCCAAAAUCCAUAUUUCCUCUUGGUCACCUUGAUCUCAGGUAUCGACAGCUUCAUCAUAUGUACCAGUUCCAUGAGAAAUGGGCCUCCGAGAACAUCUUCAUAGUGCUCUCUUUCAUACACAGUGUAGCUCUCCAUCUAUAGUUUUGAAAUAGGGAAUUUUCAGUAAAGAAUUCAAGAGGCAGGAGAGUAGUGAAAACAAAAGUUGUUCCUAUCAAGGUCUUCCUAUUUCUAAGCCAUUUCCUAGGGUUACGUCCUACAGUCAACAUGUUCUCUGAUACCAUAUCUGUAGCGACCCGACUCAAAACGAGUCAAGCCUCUGUGUAUCUGUGCCAUCCCUAGAUCAGUAUGCUGGCACACAGAGUACAUCAAUGUAUAUAUCAAAGUGCAAUCACAUGUAAAUAACGUAAAAUUGAUAUAUACCUCAAAAAUCUCAGUGGAAACAGUCAAAGAGAGUGGAGUUCCAAUAAACACCAACGACAUGUUGAGUGUAGACCGUAACCCUGAAUCGUACUCUUACUCAUCGAAGAAAGUAUCUGCAACAUAAGACGUUGCAGUCGUGUAGGUCAGCAUAUUGAAUAUGCCAGCAAGUCACAAAAGAGAGGGUGUGAAAAAUAUGGCAAGUGGGGUUGUAGUUUAAGUUUUGCGUAAAGCAAAUUUUUCCUACAAUAAUGGAGAGGGUAAAAGCAAAAUUUUCUCCAUUGUUGGUUGUUAAUGAGAUGGUUCCACCAACCAUAUCUCAUACCCAAGUUAUCAAUAAUACCCACAUCAUCAAUAUUGUUUGUGUUGAGAAUUCCGGAUAGUUUCAUUUCCUUUGGCUCAAAUUGUCCAUGACCGUGGACAUGGCUAAUCGAUUAGGUUUGAGUACUCUGCAGAGUUAUGCACACGUUCCCCACAAGAUUUAAUCGCCUCCGUUGGAGUCCUCGCACUUCAGGGUGUUUGAGAACUAGAUGAUCAAAACAUGGUCUUCCAAAGGGUUCCUGUGAGCCACUCUCGGUGCCCAUCCAAUCCUACCGUUCUUCUACAUCUCGUAGCACCGCCCGUCCAGAGUCACCACGAUGUCCAACCAAGCCAGAGCCCAUAAUGACUUGUGGUCGUGCAGGUAAGCAUCGGGUCUUUAAUUAUCCAUCCAUCUCUUCGUGCCUGGGUGAAGCUUUCCGCAAGAUGUCAUGGCACUUCCCCAGGCAUCCCGGGUCAUCUACUGGUUUCCCUGGGAGAACAUCAAAACCGUCCUUCACCCAGAGGUAUAUUGGAUCAUGAGGUCUUGAAAGUCUUGAAGUCUUCAGGUCUUGAUUAUUAAGUUCUCACAACACUCAUGGUAAACACUCAACCAAACCCCAUCUACUAGGAGCAUAGCAAAUUAAUGUCACGACAAAUUAAUGGUAAACACAUGAUACUACAUCAAGAACCAAAAUUUCCAAGUACCUACUUCCAUGCAAUGGGUGAAGAAGGUUGAUCUAAUGCAAUAAAACCAUAGGUAAAUUUUGAUCAAAGUGAACUUGCCUGGUAAGGUUGUUGAAGAUAGAUAUCGCUCACAGGAAAAACUCGAUAGAACUAUUUGUCACUCGCCGAUGAAAUCUAUAUAAUCANCUUGGAGUAGACAAGCUUGCAUCUUGGAAUUACAAACAAUGUUGUUAAAGGGACUUUUCAUUUUCUUUGCUUGAAAAAUCCAUUUUCCAUUUUUCGAGUGCCCAAAGUGAGUUUUUUGUGAAUGACCUACCAAAUAUUUGUUGCAAAAUUAGACCAAAUUAUUUUUCUAAAAUUGUAAGUCUUAUUAAAUAUAUAAUUGACCAAAUGAUUUGGUGCCAAAAGCUUUUGAUCCACCUCUCGUGAAAAAGACAAAUUUCCUUUGAUUCAGCUGGAAGCAGGUCAAAUUUCAACUACAACUGUUUGAUAGAUUGCUCUUUAAUUUUCCCAAAAAUCAUUUCUAAGUACAUAAUUAUCUAUUUAAUCAAAGAAAUGCAAAAAAAUUGCAAGAGUCAAGCCCUAGCUACGAAUGGUCAUACCCGCCGUUUGGACCGCAUUUUGAAACAGGCAUGAAAAAUUCAAAAACAAAAAAAAAUUGAAAAACCUUCGCACUGUGUCAUUAUAUGUGACCAAGUUACCAGAAAAAAUAAUAAAGUUGUAAUAUGGCAAUUAUUAAAAAAAAGUGUUCUCAUAAAUGGGCUAUCAUGUGUUAAGAUUCAUGGCUUUCAAGCCAAUUGAUCAAUCUUAUGACCACAUUCAUGGCAUAGUUUUUUCAAAUGAUGUAAUAUUGUGCACAAGGAUGUGUAUUGGAAUGGCAAAUAUUGUUGCUUAAGGAAGUUUUCAUUUUCCUUGUAUGAAAAAUUCAUUUUCCAUUUUUCUAAUGCCCAAAAUGAGUUUUUUGCGAAGGACCUACCAUAUAUUUGUAGCAAAAUUGGACCAAAUCAUUUUCCUAACAUACUAGGACAUAUUUAAUGUACAAUUGAACAAAUGGUUGGGUGUUAGAGGAGUUUAUCGACCUCUCGUGAAAAAGACAAAUUUUCAUUGAAUUAGCUGAAAACGGUUAAAUUUGAACUGCAGCUACAUUAUAGUUUGCUCUUUAUUUUUCCUAAAAAUCAUUUCUACGUACACAAGUAUCUAUUUAAUCAUAAAAACACCAAAAUAUUUUCAAGAUUCAACCACUAUCUAGGAACGGUCAUGCCCGCUGUUUUGACCACGUUUUGAAAUGGCCAUGAAAAAUUCAAAUCAAAUUCAAAAAAAUGGAAAACCAUUGCAUUGUGUCAUUAUAUGUGACAAAGUUACCAGGGAAAAUAAUAAACUAGUAAUGCGACAAUUAUUUUAAAUAAGUGUUCUUAGAAAUGGGCUAUCAUGUGUGAAGAUUCAUGGCUUUCAAGCCAAAUGAUGAAUCUUAUGACCACAUUCAUGACAUAGUUUGUUGAAACGAUAUAAUAUUAUGCACAAGGGUGCAUAUUGGCAUGGCAAACAAUGUUGAUUAAGGAAGUUUUCAUUUUUCUUGUAUGAAAAAUUCAUUUUCCAUUUUUCAAGUGAUCAAAAUGAGUUUUUUUUGUGAAGGACCUACCAUAUAUUUGUUUCAAAAUUGGACCAAAUCAUUUUUAUAAAAUACUAGUCCAUAUUUAAUAUGCAAUUGACAAAAUGGUUGGGUGUUAAAAGUUUUUAUCCACCUCUCGUAAAAAAGACAAAUUUAUACCGAUUCAGUUGGAAGCGGGUUAAAUUUGAACUGCAGUUGUAUUAUAGUUUGCUCUUUAUUUUUCUCAAAAAUAAUUUAUAGGUAUAUAAGUAUCUAUUUAAUCAGAAAUACAUGGUGUGAUGCCUUGACGUCGAGGUUUGGAUGGUGGUCGAGGGCCCCAACUCCAGAGCGCGUGAACUUGCAUGCGAGCCGCAUGGUCACCGCCUGACCGUUGCGUUGCCACGCGUUCUAGGUGGAAUAGGAAUGUCUGGUGGGUUGGACAAUCCCUCAGUAGGUGUUAGCAAGAAGAAUACAAUAGAAGAAUCUCACGAGGAGACUGAACUAAGCUCAAACAUGAAUUAGCAGCCAAGUGUUUGAUUAGCGGUGCGGGUAAUUCACAUAGACAAUGGGACUAAAUUUUGGCUGAGGAUGAUCAUCUACUAAGGGGACUCUCUUGGCAAAUUUUUAGCUCAAAUGGAUGAAUCUAGGUGGCACUUGCUUUGCAACGUAACACACUGUGCAGAAAUAUGGAUGUUGAAGCUGGGAUCAAAUGAAUGAAUGGAUUGAGCUGAAAUUUGGUGUAUGAUGUUAAGUUGGGCAUAUGAAGGCACUGUAUAAAAAUUAUACCAUUUGGACAUGCCAAAGUGACACUUCCUUCAAAAUGUGCCAAUCUGGACAGAAAAUGGUAAUUGAAACUGGGCUCACAUAGAUGAUUGGAUUGAGCUGAAAUUUCGAGGAGGAGGAUAAUUUGGGCACAUUAAGGUAGUGUAAAAAUUUGGAUAAACAAAAAUUAUAGUUCUUUCACAAUGCUCUCUACUGAACAAAAUAUUGGAUAAAAUAUUGAGGGAAACUGGCUGAAUUAAAAUGAGCUAAACUUUGGUGGAGUGAGGUUAUAUGGUUAGUGUCAUCCUGUGGUAAAUUGUCAUCAACUAUAAAGCAAUAUCAAAUGUAGUUGCUUCCCAAAAUGAAAAUAUUACCAGAAACAAAGAUUGGGUGAUGAGCUGACAUGGAUUGUUAGAUGUGGCUACAAGUUUAUGGAGAGCUAUGUUUUGGGCACAUAGAUGAUGUGGAAAAAAUUCAACUCAUCAGGAUAUUCCUAUCUAGUACUUCCUUCACAAAGUUGUUAGCUGAACACAAACUUUGAAAAUUUGCUGAGAAAGAUUUACUAGGCAAAUAGUUAUGAAAUUUUUCAUGAGGCAAUGAUUUGGAUAGGAAAGAGUGCCCAAAAAAUAUAAGGGUAAUCAAAGAAAUAUAAAUAGCACUUCCUUCACAAAGUGCUAUUUUGAACAGAAUAGGAAAAUGAAUAUUGCUGAAUUAUUUUUGAACUAUGGAAGGAAGGGUUUUCACAUAUUUGAGAAAUAUAUGAUCCAAAUUAUUUAUGAGAAUUCUUCGAGAAUUUUUGGAAUGACAGAAUAGUAGGUUGCUUCACAAACUAGGAUGAGGUGGGAUAGAAUGGACCCACGAGUGACAUGUCAACAUAGUUAGAACGUGUUACGACAUUUUUACAAUCGUCGUAAAAGUUAUGACGAUCUCAUCUUAUGCGGUUACGACCAUUCUGGAGCUCCUCGUGACGUCCGGGAUCUCAUCUGGGACUCCGAAGAACUUUCAAUAACCUCUUAUAACAAUUCCCUAUAACCCUAGCAUCAUCGAACCUUAAGUGUGUAGACCCUACGGGUUCGGGAGACAGGUAGACAUGAUCGAGACACCUCUCUGGCCAAUAACCAUCAGCGGGUUCUGGAUACCCAUGGUGUCUCCCACUUGCUCCACGAUUAUCUCAUCGUAUGAACCACGAUGUCAAGGAUUCAAUCAAUCCCGUAUACAAUUCCCUUUGUCUGUCGGUAUAGAACUUGCCCGAGAUUCGAUCGUCGGUAUACCUAUACCUUGUUCAAUCUCGUUACCGGUAAGUCUCUUUACUCGUUCCGUAGCACGUCAUCGUGUGACUAACUCCUUAGUCACAUUGAGCUAAUGAUGAUGUUCUACUGAGUGGGCCCAGAAAUACCUCUGCGUCACCCGGAGUGACAAAUCCCGAUCUCGAUUCGUACCAACCCAACAGACACUUUCAGAGAUACCCGUAGUGCACCUUUAUAGUCACCCAGUUACGUUGUGACGUUUGAUACACCCAAAGCACUCCUACGGUAUCCGGGAGUUGCACAAUCUCACGAUCGAAGGAAAAUACACUUGACAUUAGAAAAGCUUUAGCAUACGAACAAUAUGAUCUAGUGCUAUGCUUAGGAUUGGGUCUUGUCCAUCACAUCAUUCUCCCAAUGAUGUGAUCCCGUUAUCAAUGACAUCUAAUGCCCAUGACCAGGAAACCAUGAUCAUCUAUUGACUUACGAGCUAGCCAACUAGGGGCUUGCUAGGGACACAUUGUGAUCUAUUUAUUCACACAUGUAUUACUGUUUCCUGUUAAUACAAUUAUAGAUGAACAAUAGACGACUAUCAUGAACAAGGAAAUAUGAUAAUAACCAUUUUAUUAUUGCCUCUAGGGCAUAUUUCCAACAAAGACGGUGGGUUGAGUUGAUCACAUAUUACGACUUAGGAAUAACUUACACCCCGGGGAAGGCCAAUGUUAUGGCUGAUGCACUAAGUUGUAAGUCUUAUUGUAACAACCUGAUGCUACAACGAGGUCAACCACAUCUCUAUGAGGAAUUUCGGAAGUUACAUCUUCACAUUGUUCCUCAAGGAUUCCUUUCUACCCUGGUGGCGAACCCUACUCUUAGGGAUCAAAUCAUAGCCGUGCAGGCAUAUGAUAAGGGUAUAUCCCGGAUCAAGGAGAAUAUUGCUAGCGGAAACGCUAGGGAUUUGUCUAUCAAUGAGCAAGGUGUUGUGUUCUUUCAGAACCUUCUUUUUUUUCCUAAGAGCAAACAUUUGCGGCAGUUGAUCCUUAAGGAGGCUCAUGAUUCUCCUCUCACCAUUCAUCCUGGUAGUACUAAGAUGUAUGAGGACCUACGCCAGAGGUUUUGGUGGACUAGGAUGAAGAGACAAAUUGUUGAGUUAGUUGUUAACUGUGACGUUUGUCGUUGAGUUAAGGCAGAACAUCAAAGGCCUGUUGGACCCUUCAACCUUUAGCUAUUCCUGAAUGGAAAUGGGAUAUAGUCAGUAUGGAUUUCAUCACCGGACUUCCCAAGACCAAGAAGGGAAAUAAUGCUAUCUUUGUGGUCACUGACCUUCUUUCCAAAGUAGCUCAUUUUCUUCCAGUUCGUGAGAGUAUAACAGCUAGCUAGCUAGUAGAGUUAUAUAUAUCUCUCGAAUAGUGUCUCUUCAUGGUGUUCCUCUGGAGAUUAACUCACACCGUGGAAGUAUCUUUACUUCUCGCUUCUGGGAGAGUUUUCAGAAUGCCAUGGGGACUCACUUAUCUUUUAGCACUGCUUUCCAUCCUCAAUCAAGUGGUCAAGUAGAAAGGGUGAAUCAAAUUAUAGAAGAUAUGCUCCGAGCUUGUGUUAUAUCAUUCGGUAUGAAUUGGGAGAAGUGCCUUCCAUUCGCCGAAUUUGCCUAUAACAAUAGUUAUCAAUCAAGCUUGGGCAAAGCUCCUUUUGAAGUUCUCUAUGGACGAAGGUGUCAAACACCUCUUAAUUGGUCAGAAACCGGAGAGAGGCAACUCUUUGGUCCGGAUAUGAUCCAGGAUAUAGAAGAGCAGGUUUGCAUUAUUCGUGAAAAGUUGAAAACAGCCCAGUCUCGUCAAAAGAGCCAAUAUGAUCGUCAUCAUAAGGCUGUGACCUUUGAAGUUGACGAGAAGGCUUACCUUCGGGUUACACCUUUGAAGGGAACCCAUCGUUUCGGUAUCAAGGGCAAGUUGGCUCCUCGUUAUAUCGGUCCUUUUCGCAUUCUUGCCAAAUGAGGAGAAGUUGCCUACCAAUUGGAACUUCCUCCGCAUCUUUCCAAGGUUCAUGAUGUAUUCCCCAUCUCGCAACUCAGGCGUUGCUUUUCGGAUCCUAUCCGCGAAGUGGACCACGAAACGCUUGAUCUCCUAGAUAAUCUUUCAUACCGAGAAUACCCUGUGCGUAUUCUUGGUCAAGCUGAGCGUACCACUCGACGUAGAAACCUCAAGUUUCUUAAAGUUCAAUGGUUGAAUCAUUCUGAAAAAGAAGCAACAUGGUAAAGAGAGGAUCGUCUCUGACUUGAGUAUCCCGCGCUAUUCCCGACGACUUCCAAAUCUCGGGACAAGAUUCUUUUGAGUGGGGGUGAGUUGUCACAUCCCUGAUCCCCAUUAGGGUUUAGCACGUUUGAGCUCAUGUUUUCUUCCAUUGCAUCUUAAGAUUUUGAAUUGCACUCAAGGAAAGAAAUGAAAUCAANACAAAUAAAAUUUAUCCAAUAAAUCAAAUCAAACGAGAAUCCAAAAGAAAGUUCAAAGAAAACUUUCGAGCCUUCUACUAUAACAAUCACUAAGUAGUUUCUGUUCUAAUGAAACUUAACAGCAAAUAAAACACUAAAAUAGUAAAAUAACAGAAAAGAAAAUAUAAAAUAACUAAGAUAACAUAAGUAAAAUUUACAAAACAAUAUUAUUUUGAAUCUAUUUUCAAAUAAGAAUUCAAACUAGCAAUGAAAUCAAUUCGCAAGUUAGUAUAGAACUGGAAUUGAUUCCAUGCAAACAAAUAAGAAAAAAUAAAAUAAAAUUUUGUUGUUGUCAAAAAGUUACUACUAAAUAUAAGAAAACAAAAUAUAACUUGUCACAGUUACAAAAGAAGAACAAAUUAAGAACAAUUAAUACAAAAGAAAUAGCAAGAAAACUAAAAAGGGCUAAAACAGAAUCUGUUUUUCUUAAAACUCUAAUUUAAAAUAUUUAAAAAUUCUGAAAUUAAAUCUAGUGAUAAAUAAGAUCACUAGUGGUUAGUAUAAAAAAUAAUCAACUCAAAAUCUAUUUUAAACUCCCGAUAAUCACAAAACAAGGUUUAAAUCAAAUCUAUUUAAAUUCAAAAUUAAAAAAUUAAAAAAUAAUUUUUGUUUGGUCCACGGGAUAGAUGGGAUUUUUAUGAACUGGUAGCAAAAAGAAUCACUGGAUUGGAGUUGUAGACUAAAAGAUAUGAAUUUUAUAAGUUUGCUCUUUUUCUGAAAAAAAACUGUUACGGGAUUUCUGAAGCUCACCGGAGAUAGUCCCAGACUUGGAGAAGACGAGAGAGAGGUGGUUCCGGUGGCCGGCCGUGGCAGCGAAGGGGUCCAUGCGGAGGAGGAGGGCUCCGACUAAAGGUUGGUCGUGCCGGCGGGGUGUGGGGGCGACGGGAGGAGGCAACACCAGAAGCCUUUCGAGCUUUGGCUCGGGCGGACUCCGGCAAGGAGGCGCGGAAGCUACGACGAGGGAUUCGGGCAGCUCUCGUGGAGAACAGAGCGAGGGGGAGGAGAGGAGUUCUUAUAGGGGCUCGGGAGGAGCUCAGAUGGAAGGGGCAGGGAGAUAACCUUGGAUCCGACGAGGUCUCUCGUGGCGUUGUGGUGCACGGUAGGAGGAAGGAGGAGAUCGUGAGGAAGAAGAAGAAGAUACGGGCCAGAUUCGGUACGGGCCCAUGGCAGUUUUCCUAUUAAAAAUGAAAUUUCCUUUUAUUUUAAAAUACGAAAGAAAGCAUGUGAAAGGAAAUAAAUAAUAGUCCGAAAAUAUAAGUAUUAUAUAUCAAAAUGAUGAGAAAACAAUUUCCCACAAUGUGGACAUUUUCCUUUUCCCAAAAUGAAAACAUUUAAAAAUAUAUUUUUUUAAAAUCCAAUAAAAACAGAACUGUGUCUUUCAAAAAAAUUGGCACUAUUUUUCUUGUGACUUUUUGCGCUGUCAUGCUACCUCCUCUCUUUCUUGCUUGGCCAGAUAAUUGUGAGGCAUUUUGUGAGUGAAAAAUCUUGUGCCAAAAAUAAAUGCAAAUCAAAUACCAAAAUAAAAUUCAAAUACCACCGUCAUUUAAAUUAUUUAUAGUUGAAGAAGUCAUGUUGUGUGCUCUCAAUGAUUUUAAAUGGAUGAAUUUGAAUUCAUAGGAAAAGGGGAAAGUCAUUUUAUUCCCUCUCAACCAAAAGUUUUUUUGAAGUUUCAAUUUUUCACUCAAAUUAAAUCACUCAAUCAAUCAAACCAUCAAUCAACUAUUUAUUAUAACAUUCAAAAUUUUGGGAUGUUACAUAAUUACUCUUGAAGUUUGUCACAUCCCUGAUCCCCAUUAGGGUUUAGCAAGUUUGAGCUCAUGUUUUCUUCCAUUGCAUCUUAAGAUUUUGAAUUGCACUCAAGGAAAGAAAUGAAAUCAAAGCAAAACCUCAACAAACUCCAUAUUCAAGAGAAAACCAAAGUAGUGUCAAAUCAAUGAACCCAAAAUGGCCUUCAUAAAAGUUCAAUAUUUUAGAUAAAUGUUGAAAACAAGAUAUCAAAGGUGAAACAUAUUUUCAAAAUACUUUUGGCAUUUUANUGUUUUCUUCCAUUGCAUCUUAAGAUUUUGAAUUGCACUCAAGGAAAGAAAUGAAAUCAAAGCAAAACCUCAACAAACUCCAUAUUCAAGAGAAAACCAAAGUAGUGCCAAAUCAAUGAACCCAAAUGGCCUUCAUAAAAGUUCAAUAUUUUAGAUAAAUGUUGAAAACAAGAUAUCAAAGGUGAAACAUAUUUUCAAAAUACUUUUGGCAUUUUAAAAUUAAGUUAAAAGCUACUGAAAUCAAUUAUAUAUUUGAUUUCAAAUAUUUCAAAGUUUCCAAAAAUGUUGAAAACUUAUAUGUGGUUGGAAAUAUUCCAACUAACACUCUAGUAUUUUUCAAACUAUUUUAGAAUUAAUUUGGAGCCAAAAAUAAAAUGAAACAAAUGUCAGAAAGAAUAAAAUAGAAACGGAAAAGAAAAGAAAUAAGAAAAUCUUACCUGUCGCUCACCUAAGGCCCAGCCCACCCCAGCGUUGUCGUCUUCCUUGUGCCAGUCGACACCAGGAGGUGGCCGCCGCUCCCUCCGGCGCGGCCACGCACCUGCGUUCCUGCCUGGCCNAGUCGGCACUAGGAGGUGGUCGCCGCUCCCUCUAGCGCGGCCACGCACCUACGUGCCUGCCUGGCCAGCGCAUCACGCUGGCGCGAAGGGGAAAAGCUCCCCGAAGACCUCCCCAUGCUCAUCCCCCCUCCAUUCGCCCCCUGCUCUCUCCCCCCCUCUCGGCCGCCAUGACCGCGAGCUCGAGCUCGAGCUAGCAAUCGCUCCAGCCUCUCUUCCUCUCUGCUGAUCCGCGCAACAGCUCCGCCGAAGCUCCCUAAAGCUCCUAAGCUAGUCGCUCGACGCCGAGAAGCUCUAAAACGCCGUGACACCGUCAUCUUCCUCCUCGGGUCACCGGAGCUCGCCGCCGUCGUUCUCCCUCCUCAGGCCAUCCCCAUGCCUGUUCUCGCCGCCUCUGCACUCCUAGUGAGCUCAGGAAUCUUUCCCCCAAGUUUCCCCCUCGAUUCCUUCCUCUUUCACCCGAUUCCACUGGAGCCCGACGAGAUCCGCCACGUGACCUCGUUUUCGGUAGCUCUCCGGUGAUUAGCUAGUCAUUCUGAGGCCACCAAUGGCUUCAGUGCGUUGCGUUGGUGUUGUAGGAGCCUAGCCCCGCGCUUGUUGAGCCCCGUAGCAGUGCCCCCGAUGAUGCCCGAGCAUCGACGGCCGCCGAGCUCGUCGUCGGCGUCAUCUCCGGCCAUUUCACCCCUUGCUGCGUGCAAAAAUGGAGCCGUGGGUGAAGUGUCGUUCGUCUGGUGCCCUCCGCGUGAAGUUUGGUCGCCAGAAUGGAAAUUCCGAGCUCCUCCGCCGUCUGUGUGGUCGCCGGAGGCUCAUUGCCGGUGAGAUCCACCUCGCCGCCGGUGGAUCUGACUCCCCUGAGUCACUGGCAAGUGGGGCCAGCCCCCAGGCUUAUUAGGAUUAGCAAAAUAAAAAAAGAAAGAUUAUUUUAAAACUGAAACAAACACUGAUAGGUGGGUCCUACUCUGUUAAUUAGCUAAUUAAGUUAAAUCUAAAUUAAAAAUGGCCUGAGUCACUGACCAGUGGGUCCCACUAGUCAGGUUUGACUUUCAACGGCCAGAUUGACCUGGUGAUGCAAUAACUCAUUUUCUGUUUAAAAAUAAUUCGAGAAUAAGUUCAAAACUUUGGAAAUUCAUAGAAAAUUGAAUAUACCUCCAAAUUUGACAAAUAAUAUAUGUAAAAUGAUCAGAAUAAUUCAAGGAAUCCAAUGGUGCUAUUUCCAUGCAUGAAAAACAAAGUUAUGAAACAACAUCAGGUCUAAUCAAUUAAAAGAAUUUGAUAAAUUAUAAUUCAAAUGAUAUUGAAUUAUGAUUUCAAAUCAAGAUCACCCCAAAGGGUUCUACUAGUCAUCUUAAACCAUGCUAUAUUGCAUUUCAUGCAUCAUUUUGUUGCAUAUGUUUGAUAUUGAUUGUUUCCUGUUAUUCCGGUAGGCUCCGCCCCUUCGGUUACGACUGUUUAUCCGACUGACGAAUAUCACCCCUCUGCUGAGCAACAAGGCAAGCAACCAUUUUGAUCAUCUCGAUAAAUCCCAUGUUCUCGCUCCUGCUCUUACUUAUUGCAUUAGGUUCAAGUGCUUCAAAUGCUUUUACCAUGUUAGUUGAACCCACUUCCUUUGCAUGACCUGUCCUUGUCACAGUAAAUAGCUGAACCUUGCAACCUAGCAUAUCUGGUAGAUGAUUGAGCCAUGAUGUGCCUUAUCCUGCUAUGCAUGCUAUGCUUAGAGUUGUGUAUGGUCUGUCAUCUGGGUGAUGAACAGGAUCGUGAGAAUGUGUUCAGUUGGUAAAGGUCGUGUGUUGAACUUGAUUUGGUAAAGGUACUGGUGAAAGGCUAUGUAGGAGUACAUGGCGGGUUGUUUCAUUGGACCGUCCUUAGGAACUGAGUUCCGUGUAUGUAAUCCAAGACUAGAUACUACCACACAUUGGGAUACUUAAUUGACCCUCUCGACUUAUUAAUCGCUUAUUACUCGGUCCAGGAGUUGCAAGUAGUUUCUGGUGUUUAUAGUCAUGCUAGAGGCCGUGCGUAGCGCUAACCUUAGAGGUGGGCUAUGAUGCGGUAGGCAGUGGCACGGUGUACCAAGUGGCACCCGGAUGGUGGGCUUGGGAACCCUGCGCACAUCGUUUGGGGCUGUGGUGGAAACCUCGGCCGGACUGCCGUGCGGGUUACCCUUAGAUAGGCGAUAAACCUGGACUAAGUAUUAGCGUGGUUAACUGUUGUGGCCGACUCCCUCGCUAGGCUUCCGCUUGAAGGUUGCCGAGGUGCAUGACGUGCACAUGGCGAUAAGUGGCGAGAGCGUGUGUGAAGUAGUACACCCCUGCAGGGUUAUGAUCUAUUCGAAUAGCUGCGUCCGCGGAUAUGGACUACUUGGAAGCAUAUGUUGUUCAUAGAUAACUAUAAUGGCUACUCAUAAAAUUGUCAAGAUAAGUGUGAGUGUUGUGGAUGGCAUUUCCAUAGGGAGACAGAAUGAUUCCACGAUGGAGUAUUGUUGUGGUGUUAGUGGACUCGUGUGCGAGAAACAUAGUUGUCAAAACUAUUUAAAAAUGAAGUCGUCUAUCCAAGAGUCAAAUGUUGGCUUUCUGCAUGAAACUCCACCACUCCUUGAUGAUACAUUGCAUGAGUAGAUAGAUUAUCCUAAAGUCUUGCUGAGUACUUUUGUACUCACAUUUGCAUAAUAAAUUGUUGCAGAGGUUGUUAAUGACCCUAAUGGAGGGUUCUACCUAGACGUUGACGACGACGAGUAGUUGUUGUCGCAGCUACGAUCUGGCCCUAGGUUGGGUCUGUAGAUAGUCACGCCAUGUGCCCUUAUCUUUCCAUCUGUUUGUACUCAGACAGUUUUAAUCUUUCGCUGGCUUGUAAGACUUGUGUGUAUGACUUGUGAUGAUUGGUCGAGAGACCCACUACAAGAAAUAAGCUCGUUUAUGACAAAAAAUAUUGACGGUGGUUGAAUUGGUCAUAGAUCUAUGACUAAAAUUUAUAAAAAAGUCAUGAGGUGUCUAAAAGGGUCCAAACCCUGAAAGUUUUUGACCAUCUCUAUGAAGAAGGUCAUAAUCGCAUUGCACAAAAUGGUCAUUGACAUGUGUAGCUCUGAUUUGGAUGAGGAGAGGGUUUUGGAGCGUUGGAUGUAGCAGGACUCGAUGGCCAGGAUCCGUUUUAGGGGAGGGAUCCGUGGCCUCGCAUGUGAUUGGCUGGCUCCCAAAGUGAAAAGAAAAAAGAAAAAAAAGAGAAAGACAGAAACCCCACUACCCCUCUGUUCUGCUCGCGAGCUCCAUCUCUCUCCCCCACGACUCCUUGCCCGCAGUACCACCUAUGGCAACCGAUCCCGGUGGCCUUCGAUGGUAACUGGCGGGUCCCAGCGUACCACUGUGACCCCUCCCUCUGCUCCUUCCCUCCUCAGGCCAGAUCUGGCACACGCAUCCUACAACAACAACGAGCCACCCUGCAACAGCUAGGGUUUCGACCUCCUUGUUGCCGGCAGUAGUAGAUUUAUAGGAGGAGGACCGUCGGUGGCACCUCCCCCUCCCCUCUCUGGCCGAAGAUGCACUCGCGCUACUCCUCUCCAAACACACCACCUCCGACGACGACCCCCAACCGCACCCCCACUUGGGACUGUCUCCUCCUACCCCAUCACCACCGGCGACCUCAGGUCCGACCCGCGGACUGGCGAGGCGACAACACCCGAAGGACCUAGCCCCUCACCCACCCACCCAUGGAGGGAUGGAUGGAUGGGGAUGGGGCAGACCGGCAUCCAGGUCGGCAACGCGUGUAGGGAACAUUACUGCCUUGAGCACAACAUACAGGUUCGUCCCCCGUGUCUCAUCCCAUCUCUAUCCUUGCUUAUUGGGAUUUUAAUAGCAAACAUACAUAAUAGCUGGAUCAAAUUUUUGAUGUCGAUAAGAAGUAUUGGUGUUUCGUUUCAAAUAGUUUGCAACUCAAAUGUGUUGAACAAAUAGUCCAUUAUUUGGGGAAUUGCUGUUGUCAGAAGUAGGAUUAUAAUGGAAAACCAAUGGGUCUGUCGGAAGUGUUAGCUUCCGAAAGAGCUUGUAUUGUAUUUCAGUUUCCUGAGAGGUUUGAACAUUUAAUUACUACUUUCAGCAGGGAGGUGCUCAACCUCUAAGCCUCAUGGCGGCGAUGAGAUCCACUCUCAGACCAGCGUAGAGGGAGAAAAUUCCAUGCAUCAGGGAUGAUCUCCAAUUCACGGCAGCGAGGGGUGAUGAGUAGCGAGGACCUACGAUUGGCCCUACAAGCAAAACUCGGCAAGGGCAAUCAAGGCGUACUUCCACAUGGCUUCCGCUGGUACAUAUUUCUUCCUUUCCCUGGAAGUAGUUGUUGUAUGCACGACAGACUUUCUGCUCGAGGCAUUAAUGCGCAGCCCACUGCAGCCCAACUGCAAGGUUACAUGGAGGAGAUGGCGAGGUGGUGUUGUGGUCCAGCAGCCAGGCAGCCGGUAGCACGGCGAUCCGGCGAUACGCAACCCAGGCAACGAGCACAACUGGCCGCACACACGCUAUGCACAAGUAAUUUUUUUACCAAUCAUAAUUGUUCUCCACGACUUGGCAUCAUAUUAUAUUCACAAUAGUAUUUUCUAUAGACCAUAGAAAUACAAAACUCAUAGUUAUCCCGACUGAAUGCAAUCUGGUAACAUGAAUUAUCAAGUCAAUUGUUGUUUGCAAGUUUACACAUUGUAACUUAGUUACUACAUACCUGGCUAUGGGCAAGGCUGGUUAGCAAAUAAUUUAUUUGGUUUAGCAAGCGAAUAAUUAUGAUGAUUUUAAAAAUACCUCAGUACAGUAGUAACUAUAAUGUCUAUCAAAAUAUAAUUAAGAAAAAUGUGCUCUUCUUUACGUUGGCCCGGCCAACCAUUUCUAUGUAGCUCCGCUAAUGGUGAUAGCAUUGGUUGGCUUACAAGUUACAUGGUGUUGUUCUCCUGUUUAUGAUAUACAAGUUCAUUGUUCUUUAUUCUUUUAUUACGAGUGUUUUUCAGACUAAUAAGCUCCCUUUAAAUAAACAGGUUGUGCAGCAUCUCCUCAAUGGUCCCCUGCUCCCCCAACGGAUUCGUCGUCUCGCUGUGAAAUCUCGCUCCCUGAUUUGUUGUCUUGCUAUUGGACUGUGCCUGCGCGGAUGCUUCUUCUGCCCGUUGUUGUUUUGCUGUUGCUGAUGUCGUGCUCUUUUAUUUGGAUGUUGGAGUGCAGGCAGAUGGCUAACAAUGGAUUGUGAGGGGCUCUAUCGCCGAGUAUCGGGAACCUCAGUUACCUGUAGCCAAUGUAAGGCCUUGGAAACGAACUCACCUAUCCAGUCACAGUUUUUGUUUCCUUAGUUCCUUUGACACGGUGUGUCAAAGUUUGAAGCUUCCGAGCUGAAUCGCUUCAAAAUGAGGAUGUUCGUACUUGUGUAUCUAGCUGUUGGAAAAUAUGAAGCACAAGUGUUGUUUAGGUUCAAACAAUAUUACUGUUUAGGAUAUUCCGUCGGUGACUCAUUAGCAUGAGGAUAGUUAGCGAGCUGAAGGUGGGGAACUAUACAAUACAAGUCUUGCCUUAUAGUUAAAUUUAUGUCCGUGUGUGCAAACCUAGUGCAUAUUAUUGCAAUCCAUACUUUACUUGACCCUAUCUAUGAACCAUAUAUAAUUUGACUACCACGCACUGUAUCUGUACCUGAUACAUUAAACUCAAUGUAUUAUAUAUCCAGUAAAGAAAUUAUCUCAGACAUUUGUACCAUCUAUAGAGCUCAAAGUACAAGAUGAACUAUAAUAGACUAGUCGUCAACCCGUGCGUGCGCAUGGGCUAGCUUUUUCACAUAGUUUAACAGAAAUCAUUGAUAGCAGCUUAAAAUAUGGAAAAUAUAAAAUAUUACAUCAUGAUAAGCAAGUGAAAAUAUGGAUAGUAUUGGGUUCAUAUAUCCAAAAUGUAAAAAUAUAUGUAAAUGUUUAGAAACAUAUUCCUUUAUGGCUACAAAUAUGGAUAGUAUUGGGUUCUCCAUAUAGAAAACAAUGCAUGAUGAUAAAGAGUAUAAAGUAAUACACGUGCAAUGCCUUGUUGUUGUGUAUAGCUUCAGCAAAACAACGAUUCUUAUCUGAUUCAUUCAGGCAGGAGCAAAGACAUCCAUAAAAAUUGUUGUCAAUAAAUAUUAUGAGGCGAAUCCCAUAUGCAAGAAACAUAUGUUUAGAGUUUACUUAUUUUAUACAAUGGCUUAUAAUAAAUAUUAUGAGGUGAAUCCCGUAUGCACAAAGAACGACACCUAAAAACAUAAAGGGCAUGCAAUCCUGGGACAUGAAGCACAUCCAUCUAGCUAUAGUUGUAAGACUCAGCAAGUCGGUAUAAGGCUAAGCAAAUCUGGAAUAGAAACUACAUUUUGGUCAAGCCACACAUCUUCCUGCAACCAUACAACCUUAUAUACCCAUCUUCUCAAAAGCCAUAUAGUCAAACUUCUCAUUUUCUCUACUCCCGAGUUCUGAUGACUUAAUGCUAAAUUUGUCAAGCCAGUGUUUGGUCCGUUUGUGUAAUCCAGUGUAAUUCCAUCAGGUAACUGAUUGUUAAGGCAUCAGAAUAUGUGUAGCUCGGAGCCUCCAACAGCUACCCGGGAGCAAUAAGAAGUAAUCAAACUACUUAUUCUUAAUUUGCAACAUCCAUAGCAGAUUUAUUCAACGACUAAGGUGUAUCGAGACAUAACAAUAGUAUAUAUGAAAGAAGUAUCCAGCUUUCUAGGAUUAGGCGGCUGGGUGUUCUUUUUAAUCUCAGUGUGUGUGUUUCUAGGAUUAGGAACAAACAGGAGGUGUGCAACUUUUAGGGGUCAAAGCAUGUAUUUUAAUCUAAUGUUUUGCGAUUGCUAGCACAUUUAAACCACUUUAUCUCGUCUCAUUCGUGUGACAAGAAGCUUAUCAUAUUCUACAAAUACACAAGUUGGUCAUGUAUGAUCAGUUGUGUCCCGCCUUAACGUCGAUAGCUGAAUUCCUUGAUCUCUCAUGUGAUGAUAGUUACUACUGCUGUGAAUUUAUCCAGUUUUUACAACUUAAUAUUUUUUCAAUAAAUAGAUAAAUCAAUACCAUGCUGCAAAUAAAUGGAAAGAGAUGCUUAUGGUUGUUGCUUGUUAUUCCUUAUUCUGUACGCCUGUCUUAGUUACCCUCAUUUUUUCAGAACACAAGACUCGCACAUGGCUUCGUUUUUAUGAGAAUAUUCUUACAGAGUAUAGCGAUAUUUUUUGCAUCAGUUUGUGAAUCGAAACGUAUUGAAAACAUUUAACCACAUCAGAUGACAUUUAUUUAUUUGGUAAUAGGCAUGUAAACCACAACCUCCUGGUCUGUAUAUUCUUCUCAUUUGUGAUCCUUGUUAAUGUCAGGAUGUUCCUUAAUCUAUAAUUGGCUACUCAGAAGAAGUGGAAAAGUGGAAGACGACGAUGCUAUGUUUUCUCAAUUUGUUGUUACAUGUGAACAAUUUAAUUUUGUAUUCUUUAAUGUGUUCCAUUGAAACCACAAUGGUUGUAUUGUUCGGACAGUACCAACACUUGUUGGAUUUGUAAUGGAGUUGAAGGCCGAACUAUUUUAUGUGAUGCUUGUUUAUAAAGUAUCUGUCAUGAUGCCUAUUGCUGAAAUGAAUGAAACUUUUUAUCAUAAUGUUUUUUCAUUGGAAUUAUCUAUGAUGCUUUGUGUAUCAUAACUGUGCAAAAAUAAGGCCUCAUCCUAGAUAAAAAUAAUAGUAAUGGGCUGAAAUAUCAAAUAUUGCUUUAUGAACGCAACACAAAAUUUGUUGGGCCUGGCAAAUUUAAGUGCCUGAUUUGGACACGGCUAGUAAAAUUGUGACCUUAUUUUUCAGUCACUAGUGAUCCGCCAUGUCAUCGCCUUCCCCACGUGGUUGAUGCCAUGUCAGCUUCUGUGUGGUCCACGUACACAUGUAAUGACCAAAAAAUUUCGUCAAAGAUUUUAUGACAUAUUUAUUUUGGUCAAAGAAUACUUGACCAAAACACUAAAAAGGUCAUGUCUGUUCGUUCUUGACGGCCAACUGUUGACCCUCUGAAUUUGGUCAAAAAAAGGUCAAAAUUUGAUACCAAUGACGAUUCUUUGACCAAAAUGGGGGGUCACCUAUCUGUGUAAUAUUAUGUGUGAGGCUCUUCCGAGCCUUCUAAAUAAAGUUUGCAUGUUUAUGGUUAUGUUGUGAUGCCAUCCAUGUAUCUAUACAUAUCGGUAUGCCAUGCGUACGUGUGUUGUACAUGAUAUGUAUGGGGUUCGAAUACCUAGUCGUAUGCCUUAGUAGCAAUCCUUACGGGGAAAUGCCCCUUUGUGAUUCCAUCGAGCCAUGGUAGUUCGCUACUGCUCCGGACACAUUGGUUGACCGGCAUGUGUCCUUCUUAGCUGCAGUGUCGGUCCCUUUGGAAAAUGUCACGCGUAUGUAAUGGAGUCCUUGUAGCUUGCUACGACUCGUCUACAUUUGCUGAUGACCGACAACUGCUUUGCUGGGUCAUGUAUGCCUGUCCCUGUACGGAACUGCCACUUGAGUUUAUGACUAGACAUGUUGAUCCGGGUUCUUUGACAUUGGACUGCUAGCGACACAAUUGCAUACGCGAGUCAAAAGGCGCAAACGGUCCCGGCUAAGGUAAGGCUGCAGCCGUGGGGAUAACCGUGCGUGAGACCGCAAAGAGAUGCGAUAUGUUACAGGGUGGAUUCCUAUGGCUUAGGAUCGGGGUGCCGACAAAGUUUGUGGUUGAUGUUCCUAAGAUGCCCCGAUGGGUUGAGCCUAUGCUUUCCCUAAUCCAUGUGAUCCCUAGAGUUUUCACGAGUCUUACUCUUCUAGUGUUUUGCAAGAUAUUCUUUCAAAGCUACAACUUCAUCAAAGCCGAGGAGUAAAUGGGAGGUGAUGCAUCGAUGAAGUGGGAGUCGACCUUGAGCUUUGUGUUCGUGCACAUGGACCCGAUGUAUGUCUUAUCAUGGAAGCUUCUUAUAACCAAAGAAUUCCCUUGGUGUAAUUUGAUGUGGUAUCUAUGAUUAUGUCCUUUGCAAUCGUGGUUCCAACCAAGUUUUUCUACUUUGAUUUCGUUCUCACACAAGUUAAAGUCCUUGUGUUCCAAAGAUAAAUACAAUAUUUUAACCUCUAUUAUGAUCUACCUCCGAGUGUUAUCCUUGGUAUCUCGAUAAUAUCAUGAAGUUAUAUAACUUCUUAUGAACUCCUCAUCAACUAUGAUAUUUCAUUGGUUCCAAUUUCCUAGUGCUCUGAGUUGUUGGACACUCAAGGACACCGAUAACUGAAUCGAGUAUGCAUUGCGAUUCAACAACUCUUAGUAAUAUUCUUUGGUUAUGAGUUUGUACUCGAUCAUGUCAUUCCAAGUUGUUAGACUACAUCAUAAUCGUCAUGCUUGAGCUUGACCAUGAUAUCUGUGUCCUUCACCCCCGGAACACAAUUCCAACAUUGCACUAAGCUUACGUCGUGCUUUCAAUGUCAUGUUGGUUAUUUUGAAAGGCAAUUUCAGUUGUGAUCUAGCACUAUAAUCUGUGAUUCCGACAACCUUUCGCUUCACCACUCCUUUGCUUGAUGUCAUUGUUGGAUGAUUGCAUCUUCAAGAAACUCCUCGACAAAUGUGUCGUGAUCAUCAUCAGCAUUCUGACCUUUUCCAGGACAUCAAUCAAAUUCAUGAUGAGAAAUACCAUCCUUGCCCCUCGAUGAUAUGUGUUAUCAUUGACAACUUUAUUGCCUUCCCUCCAACACAAAACAUAUUCAUAUUUUGUGUUGUCCCUUGCGUUCCUUGCUAACCAACUUAUGUUAUGUUCUACCUUGGAGUAUUGCCAUCUUUUAUGUCAAGAGUGUUGUGAUAAUUGAUGCACCUCUUAAGAAUUCUUGAUAUAGUGAUACUUCUCGCCAUCACCAUUCAUUUCUUGGUCCCCGUGUUAUCUCUAACCGGAAUACCAACAAGUGAACUCUGAUGUGUGAUUCAAAUACUUCUCGCAAACCUAUUGCUUUGAAGUUAAUGAAUGAUAGUUUCAUUCUUAGUGUGUUGGUUGUUGACUCACCAUUUUAGCACUCGUCGUGCUACACAGUUCGUAUUUCCGAGUGCACCCUCCGAUCAAUGUUUAAUUGUUGAUGUUUCCUCGAGCAUACGUCAUUAUAACAUUUGAUCUAACAAAUGAUAUCUCCUUGGUCUUAUAAUCUUGGGAAUUUAUCCCUAUCAAAAUCUUGAGGGAUUGUUACAAAGGCCAUCGGCCACACCCUCAAUUUCUCCAUGUUCCAUGAGUAAGCGCUUGAAAGCAUUAUCUUUGAGCCUAGCUCAUGAAGAAUAUGUUUGAAGGAAGAAGUGCUUUCCCAAAGUUCACGUGCAUUCUUAUCUCUGUGAACAUGAGAAAGUUUUGUUUCGCUUCCUAUGGGAUCAUUCCAAAUCAUACACGCACGUGCAAAGUGUUACACAUUUUGAAGAUUUUUUAUCUUCACUUCAUAAAGUUUUCUUAGCACACCAAGACACUGAAUGAUUUCAUCAAGGAAAAGAAGUUCCUUGAUAAGAGCUAAUCCAGGCUUACACAAGGACCUAUCCUCGAUGAUGGUUCCCAAAUCAGAACUCAGUUGCAUUUCAUGGUAAGAAUUCCAUGUGGGCACGAAUGUCUUGGCAUUGUGUUCAUGUGUCUUACAAUCCAACUCAUGAUUCAAGACUUGCUUCCAUAGUUCAUAUCCCGAGAAUCUUGCAUCAUCAUGUCGUCAAUUUUUGUUGCCCCCUUUUCUUCUCACGCAUCGUGAGCCUGAGGUAUCUGAAACCAAUCAGAUAUGAAUCUCGGGUUGAUAUGAUGGCUGGAACAUUUUUCCAAUAAUUAUAACUUCGUCUUUAUGUAACCCGAUAUGGUGCUGUCUUGUCUAGCACACCUAUCGGGAGGACAUAUUGUUAUAUCAUCUUCCUUAGUAAGGUUUGCCACUCUCCCGUGAGGAAAUUGUAUGACUUACUCUAUAAGUUGUUCCUGACGGAUCCUUUGUGUACCCAAAGUCCGACCUUUACCUCAUGCCCAUGUCGAUGCUACCCCGAAGCACAAAUGUGGUACUUGAAAUGUCAAUGGGAACAUUGGAAGCGCAAUGCUAAAUUGUUCUUGAUGAAUUAUCCAAACAGUGUUGUAUGGGUAAAUAUCAUGAUUCUCCUUGCCCCUUUAUCUAAAUGGUUAUGUACUUGGUGAUCUAUCAGGUAUACCAUGCUCUAUUUUCCUUGGGAAAGGUAUACUCUAAUACUUGUGUGUUUGAUAUGAAAAUCACAUUUUCCUUUUCAUUAUUCUACUUAUUUCUUGUAAUCUAACUUAUCUAAGAAGUGGUAGUUCCCUGCUUCAGUAAAAAAACCUGUGUGUACAACCCUAUAAAUAAGACCAUGUUACUAUUUUGGAUAGCAUUCCAGUAGCCGCUGGUGGACGACAACUUUGCCUAAUUGUCUGCAUAGUUUCAACGAGUAGGAAAAUGGUUCUAUUCAUCCCCCGCCCUUGGUACCGACGUUGUUGCCAACAUAACUGACAGACUAUCCUCUGACGUGUCUUGCUACCAUGACCAUGAAUGAUUUCACCGCUCUUCCUUCUCUUACCCACAUGGUGGGCCCAUAACCCACAGUUCCACAAGAUCAAAACAUGACUCUCGUUUACACCUUUGAUUCCAAUGUAUCAUUUGCACUUGGCUUCGUAUGUAAUUCCCGAGCCACCGUCCAAAGGGUGAUCUAUUCUAUUGUGAGGUGCAAUAUUUAUUUCUGUUGCCAUGAACCCAUUUCACCUUCUCAUUAGGCAUCGAAUGAUUGCCUACCCAUUUGAAACUUGUGUACCAUUGUUUUUUGUCCUCAAUGGAUUCACUGAGUUACAACGCGAGGAAUAAUUCAUGUCUUCUCCCCUGAGUUCACCGUCAGAUGCCCAACUUUGUGUAGGUAAGUCCUUGCAAAAGUUUUCCCUGUUAUCACAUUCGUAGGAUGAUGAAGAUCCCGAGGAAAGGAUGACAAUUUCAUAAGGAUGACCUGAAGUAGAGAAUUGAAGGCAUCAAUGUAAGGUGUUAACUUCUUGGGGAAGAGAAACCAAGAUCGGGACAUCUCGUUAGAUUUUCAUAACCAAAUUCUUCCUGUUACUUCUACCUCUAAAUACUCGGGACAAUAAUUUGUUUUAGUGGUGGAGAGUUGUGACACCCCGGUAGGUAAGCUACAGUGAUCCCAUGAUAAUGAUGCCAUGUCAUCAUGCUUUGCUAAGCCAAAAUGCCCCUUGGUAAAACUCAAAGACAAAUUAAAAUUCAAAUUUAAAAUAAAGUAAAACAAAUAGUUUAUUUAAACAACAAAACUAAAAUCUUGGUUGGGUUGCAAAUAUUCACCUAAUAAUUAUCAAAUAGUCCCUUCAUCCCAAAAUUCUUAUCUUUGGUUUAUCUUGGAAUGGAUGUAUCUAAAUACUAAUACAUGACUAAAUACAUUCAUAUCUAAACAAAUCAAAGAGAAGAAUUUUGGGACGGAGGGAGUAGAAAAUAACAUUUUACAAGGCAUUUAGAUUCCCAAAAACAAUUAACACAAAGGCCAAAUCAUUUAUUUAAAGGCCUUUUUCCUUAUGAAAUUCCAAACUUUUUGAAAUGGCUACCAAACUUUGAUGACAGUGCUAUAUAUUGCAAGUUGAUUUAUGGGUCGAGUUCCAUAUUUUACAAAACCUAUUUGCUAAUUAAAAUAAAAGAAAAACAGAGAUUGAUUUAAAGAAACACAAAAUAAAAUAAAAUGAAAAGAUCCUAUUUUACUAUGCACUAUGGCCCAUCUAGCCAAAUGGCCGGCCCAACCCACCACUUCUCCUACCCCAUUCGCUACAAGAGGCACGGGAGGAUGUGGCGUUCAUCCACCAGUGCCAUUGUGGGUGAUGCGCACGUGCCAGCCACCCCCGGCCUCUAGUGAGCAUAAGGACCCCCCCCCCCCCCCCCCCGCUCAAACCCUAGGCCACUCCCUCGCACUCUCACACCCUCUCUCUCCCGAGCUCACUACACGCAAUCUUCGUCACAUCGACACCGUCGUCGUGGCCAUCAACCUCCCGUCGCCUCUCCUCCGUGCGUCUAACCUCCUCACCGAGCCAUGCCUCGUUGGGAGCCCCGCAUCGCAGUCAGGAGGUCGUCUCCAACCGCGGGAUCCGUCGGCCACCGUCGUCCAAUUCGUCACGAGAGAGCGCCCCCGAGCCCACUGACCUGCUCUGCGAAACCACUAUGAGCCUACCUCCCCGUUCCCCCAUUCCCCUUGCUCCCGUCAUCGUUGUAGCGUUGCCCCCGUGCUUGACUACCGUGAAUGCAGCUCUGCUCCCUGCACACACGCACUCCCGCUCCCACCCCAUCUUGCAUCGCCCCAGGUCGUGCUCGACCAAGCUCUCUAGCGCCUUGCGAGCGCUCAUGCGCCCACGUGCGCGCGAACCACGUGAUCCCCCACUGCUGUUGUUGCGCUUCCGCUGCGCCCGCGUGCACCGCCACCCCACACUGNAGGCGAAUCCGAGCGCCUUGCCGCCGCGUGUGGAGCUUGCACCAUCCGUUCAAGUCAACGCGAGUCCCUCACUCAUGGGCCUAGGGCGAUUAGCCCCACUAAGAGCAUCACUAGUAGUGCCCUCAAAUCCUCAGACCAGUUUAAGGGUUGAAAAUUGCCAUUUUGCCAGUUUUAAGGGUUGAAAAACAAGGGCAAAUACUAGAACCCUCAAACCCAACCCUUAUAACGGAAUAUUCCGUUAUAAGGGUUGGGUUUCAGGGUUCUAGUCUUUGCCGCAACCCCAACCCUUAAAACUGUCAUUUACAAUAUCACAAUUUUCAUCAUCUCAAUAACGGUUUGAAGAAAACAAUAAUCAUUCUAGUUUUUAUUACAACACCAAAUAGUACUUUCAAACACAUAAUAAUCAUUCAAGUUAUUACAACAAUUUUUUCAAGCAUAUUACAAUAAUUGUUCGAAUCAAAUAGGACAUAGAAAAUUAAACAAAGGUAGAUCAUGGGCCUUGGCGCCGCCCAGCCAACUGCCACUGGUGCUAUACUAGAUCAUCCCGGAGCUGAGCAUGAGUGUUUGCAUCCUCAAUCUGACGAUCUGCUUGAAGAAAAUCUUGUUUGCAUCCUCCUCUGAUCCAUCAGAUUUUCGUGAUCUUCAAACUCUUGCACGUAGAGCAGGAGGCCCAUCAUCUCGAUGUCAUCGUCUUGAAGCAACUCCUCAAUGUCCGAAUCCUCCGAUGACGACCAACCAAAAUCAUCGGACAACGCCUCCAUCUACACAACACAAAACAAAAAAUUGUGAGUGGCAACAAUGAAUCAAAAAGGAAAAAAUUAAACAAANNNNNNNNNNNNNNNNNNNNNNNNNNNNNNNNNNNNNNNNNNNNNNNNNNNNNNNNNNNNNNNNNNNNNNNNNNNNNNNNNNNNNNNNNNNNNNNNNNNNNNNNNNNNNNNNNNNNNNNNNNNNNNNNNNNNNNNNNNNNNNNNNNNNNNNNNNNNNNNNNNNNNNNNNNNNNNNNNNNNNNNNNNNNNNNNNNNNNNNNNNNNNNNNNNNNNNNNNNNNNNNNNNNNNNNNNNNNNNNNNNNNNNNNNNNNNNNNNNNNNNNNNNNNNNNNNNNNNNNNNNNNNNNNNNNNNNNNNNNNNNNNNNNNNNNNNNNNNNNNNNNNNNNNNNNNNNNNNNNNNNNNNNNNNNNNNNNNNNNNNNNNNNNNNNNNNNNNNNNNNNNNNNNNNNNNNNNNNNNNNNNNNNNNNNNNNNNNNNNNNNNNNNNNNNNNNNNNNNNNNNNNNNNNNNNNNNNNNNNNNNNNNNNNNNNNNNNNNNNNNNNNNNNNNNNNNNNNNNNNNNNNNNNNNNNAGGUUUUUCUCCCCAAUCCUCACUUGUACAGGUUGGGAGAGGGUUUGAAGGUCGGAUCCUCAAAUUGUUUUGAGGGUUUGAGGGUUAAGGGGUUCUGGUCUACGUGUUUUUUUGCUCGCAAACUGUAAAAAAACAGUUAUAUUUAAGGAUUUGAGGGUUUGACGAUACUACUAGGGAUGCUCUAACACCCUCCGCCUUGUGCAACUAACCACUAGGCCACUAGCGCUAAUUAGUUCAAUUAAUAAAAUUAACUAUUUAUCUAACCUAAAAAAUCACUCGCUAUUGGACCCCACCUACUUAAUUAGAGUAAUAAACCUGUUAAAAUAUGGGUCAAUGACAUAUGGACCCCCACAUGUUAGUUGGAUCAGUCAUCGAGUCAAAUGUUCACUCUUGACUACUGACUCGCACUCAGCAGGCCCCACUUAUUAGCCUUUGCUAACUAGGAUGUUGACCCAAUCAACACGACCCACCAGUCACCCUGUGGUGCACGUGCGGGUGCACUGCGCCGGGUGCACCUAUAUUAUUAUCAAUUUGUUUUUCGAAUUCAUAAUUAUACCAGAAAAUCAUUUAAACUUUCAAAAAUCAUAUAAAUUAAUCUAUAACUUGGAUGAAAAUAAUUUAUAUAUGAAAGUUGCUUAGAAAAAUUCCAUGAAUCCGAAUAUGUUGCCCAUUCAUGUGUCACAUGCUCCUAUCAUGGUGAACAUGGACAUUUUGAUGUUAGGAUCAUUUUUCCGGUAGUAGUGAGAGACCCGACAAAUAUAGUCACAUGUUUUCCCUUUCCGUCCAUGACGUUUAGUACUGUGUUAGUUCAUCCCUAGCAGUGCAUAUUGCCAUGUCGUGCAUUGUGUUGUAUUUGCUUGCUUGUAUUUAUUGUUUCCUCCCCAUCUUCUCUUCGGGAAACGCCAAAGAUGACACUGCUGCUGGGUACGACUACCCCAUGACGGCCAGCCUUUUGGAGCAGAGCAACAAGGCAAAAAAACCCCUUGAUUAUCCCUAUACCGCUCAUUCUUUCUCCCUCAUGUUUGAAUUAGAUUUUUCUACUAUUGUAGAUAGCUCGUAUUCUGAUGCAUAGCCUGUUUUUCUUAAACUGCUAUUGUACCUUACUGCAUAUUAAAUGCUUAGCAUAGGUGGAUGAGUGAUUCACACUGACUCCACUAGCCCUAGUUGGCCUUGCUUCAUCAUCAAAGAUUCGAUCAACUGAUUAACAAUCCAUGAACCGUCGAGGUUGAUUCCCCUCAAGCGUGGACCAUCGAGGGUGAUUCCUCCCUGGUCACCUUGACGGUUACAUUGAUUGAAAUCCGUCGAGGGUGAUACCUUGGAUUCCUGUGAUGUUAGAAACACACGAUUACUUUCACUUUACUACUAUAAUUUUAUGAAAUAUGUGGUGCGGGUGGAUUCCCGUGUGUUUGUGACGAGGCGUGAUCGGGCAUUCUUCGCCCUUGCUACACAUCCUCGAGAUGGGGCGAUGGGACCAAAUAUCGUGGAUCGUUGAUCAUCGCCAUGUUAAUAAAGCAUUAAUGGGAUUGGGUAUUUGAUCUGAGUUGGUCAAUUGACCUUUUUUGCACUAACCUUCAUGCAGGGACAGUUAUGGGCAGUCAACAUUGUGGUAUCAGCCUAAGCUCCUCGGACGUCAGCAAUGGAGUGGCACGCGCCCGAUUGGUCCGCAUAAGCAUUGAUCUUGUAUAAGAGGUGCUAGGACUGACCUCGACCGCCCCCGCAAUGUUGUAACACCCUGGUUUCGCCCCCUGUUUUUUUUUCCUUUGCAGGAUUUGACUCCCGUCUUUUUUCUCGGUGUUAUCAAAAUUCUCCAGCUCUUGGGUAUAUGACGAUGGUCAUUCAUUCUUGCCUUCCUAUCCAACCAGAGAUUCUCCCCAGUCCAACCUUGCCACCCAAGAUAUAUCUCCGGACUUGCCACGGAAACCAUACCUUCCGAGUUGCCGGAAGGGAAACCCUAAUCCUUCUAGUUACAAAGGAACCCCAAUCUCCUUUACCCCGUUGACUCCCAAACUUUUCCCAGUGAUCAUCCUUCAUCUUUAAACCCUGGAUAUGCAAAAAUAUUGCCAAUUCAUUUGCAAUAUUUUUCAUUAUAAUUAAUUCCUUUUUCUACAAGAUAAAGGAAUUAAAUCCAGGAAAAUAUCUACCCAUCUCCAAAGUUCAUGAAAACUUGUGGAGAUAUUCUUUGUAAUCAUAUUGAUAUCCCAUAAAAUAUUGGCCAUUAUUAAAUGGGGAAAUUUUCCUUUUUCCUAUUUAAAGCCAAUAUUGCAUUUUGGGCAGUUUCUAAAGAAACUACCAUUUUGGUAGCUAGGAAAAUUCCUAAAUAAAUUGUGGAGCUUCUCAUAUCCAUAUCUUCCCCAUUUCCACUAAGAACCCAAGUUCCAUAGUUCAAAGUUUGAGCACAACAUCCAUUUGCAGAUUAUGUCCAAUUGGGCAAGCUGCAAAGGAAGUGCUCUAUUCCUUUGUCUAUUUGAUCUGAAACUUUUCAUGGUGGUUAAUAUUGAUAAAUCACUCUUGGAUACCAAAAACCAGUUCAAUACAUCUAUCCAUUUCUCCCCAGCAAUUUACCCAAGUUUCUGCCCAUUUGGAACCUCUGUGACGGAAAUACCACUUUGGCAUCUCCAAAUGAUCUGAAACUUUUCCAGUAUAUUCCUAUGUUCAAAUAAUCACUCUCCACCAAAUGUGAGCCAAUUGCUCCUAGAAAAUUCAUCUCUAUUUCUCGACAUGUUGCUAUAUUUCAAAGGAAGUGCUAUUUGCACUUGUUGGAUUGCAAUGAAACUACAUAUUUAGACUCACCUUAUCAUCUUAUAACCUCAUGCCAAAACUCACCUUAUGUAUCCUAGCCAAUUUGCCACAAACUGCCACAAACACCUUAUGUUCAGAUUAGAUGUCAGCUCAAAUCAGUCAUUCGUUGCCUUCAGUUCCAUCCAAACUCCCAUGGGUCAUCUCUACGACCAGUGAGCAACAUGUUUGACAAGGCUCUAGAGCCAUCUAGUGUCUUGGACACGUGGUCCCAGUGGUGGCCACGACUUUGGUCGGCAGCCAGCGCGAACAGUGGCAACAGUCGCCGUCCGGUCCCCUUUGGUUGUCCUCAGCUCACCGCCCAGCUUCCCUCGAUCACCCACGUCGCAUGCUCCUCUGCUCCGCCUCGUCCCCUAGCUCCGUGGUCGGGUGUGCCGAUGGGAGGUGCUCCGCCCGAGCGCAGCCACGUCAUCAGCGUCCCAAAGCUCCGACCAAUGUCGAGAGGCCCUCCUACGGCUAUUUAAGCUCGUCCUGAGCCCUCCAUCACAACCACCAACUUCUGCUCUCGCCUCCUCACCCUCCCUGAGCUCCAUGAGCUCCUCUUCUCCCCAAUGGUCGUAAGCCCGCCACCGAUCCCCUCGGGUAGCCGCUGCUCCUGGCCUUCCUUCCCUCUUUUGGCUCCCUAGAUCCCCUCUAGAUAUUGCGCCAUUGCCUCUGACCUCCUCUCCAGCGGAGGAACCUCGCCGGCGCGGCCCUCCUUUGUGCAUCAUCCGGCUGCCGUGGCCUCCCCGUGGAGCCAUCGCUGUGGGCGGUCCCAGCUGGCCCCACAACCACCCCCGAGUGCGGCGAGGAGUGCCCUCCCGCGUCGCCGGACGUCUUCUGCACCGACGUCUAGGACCCUCCCCUGCUCUAUGUCGUGAGGAGGAAGGAGACAGGGAGGAGGAGAGAGAAGGUGGGGUGAGGGCCACCUGUAAGCGACCAGACGAGGGGGUAAAGUGGCUGAUGACCGGGCCUGUGGUAUUUUAAGUGGAAGCGUAUAUUGUCAAAGUAUGUUUUCAGAAAUUGGAAGGAGUAUUCGGUUACACUAUGACCGAAGUACGCUUUCCUUUUAAGAAAACGUAAAUUUCCCAGUGUGCCUUCAGUUUAAGCCGACAGGGGCUUGUGUGUCAAUAGUUUUUUAUAGAUUGGUCCCUAUAUUUCAAACGGCUAUAUCUUUUUGACCGAGACUCCGAUUCAGGUGAAACCAACGCCCACGUCUUCAAAUCGACGAGCCGGUUCCGAUGGUAUCAUUUUCAUAAUGUUUUCACACUAUGAAAAUGACCACGUUCCCCUUGCCCUUCUAUUAGCCCUCUUCGAGAGAGAACAGUUUCCGGCGAUUCCUUCCGCGGACUCUCUGCACUUCUUCCGAAGUAUUCCUUAACCCCCAGGCAAGCCGAUCAUCUGAUAUAUACCCUCAAGCUUUGCUCUGUGUUGUUCUUGCAUAUUUAAAUUAAAAUGCUCAUGUCUGUGUGUAUAGUAGUGUGUUGUAUGAGAUGUUGAUGAACCGUUGCUCGCACUUUCUUCAAUGACGACACCACGCCUGAGCCUGAGCUGCUUUUGGCCGUCUGGGGUGGAUGCCGACUUUAUAUUUCUCUUGUGAGCAGUUGGCGCGUGUUUGGAGCUGCUUUUCGACCGUCGCGGGCAGAUGUUGAAUUUCUUUCCGUGGCAGUGACCCUAUGCUUUGAGCUGUUUCUCGGCCGUCUUAGGGAACCGCUACAUUCUUCUUAUCAACAUCGCCUCAUGCUUUGAGCUACUUUCCAGCCGUCUUGAGCCGGGGUUGAGUUAUUCCGGUAAUGUCCCAGAUCUGUGUUGUAAAGACCGUCCUGGUGGCUAUCAAUUUAUUUGUCGGUUUUAUGCAAGGGUUCUGAGGGUCGUAACUUACAGCUAGAAAUUGUAAAGUAAUAAUUUGCCAUUUAUAUCCUGUCUUAUUAAUGACUUAUGGUGAUACGGAGAUAGGUUGUUGUACCGUUGCUAUCUCAUACAUAGUUAUCAUCAUGUUAAGUUAUUGUUGAUGAACAACCAUGUUUGAUAAAUAUGUUGUUAAAACAAUACCUAGUGGGUUGAUCCAGAGUCACCUAUCCGGGAUUAUCAGUGCAACCACAUUUGCCGGAUGGGAUGACCUCAACUUGGUCUGAUCGCGUGCUCUUUCACCGGUACCUCCAAAGAGGGAGGGUUAUGCACGCACGCUACCCUGAUCAGCUAGGCGGUGAUAACCCUGUGAGCCAGUUGAGUUGUUUUGUGCACAUGUCCCUGUUUGGGACAAUUUAGUUUGGCCACGAUGGUGGCAGGUGUCAUGAGGACACAGGGCCACCCAGGACAGGACUCCGGGGGAGGAUGAAUGUCGGUGGUACAAUGGAAGAGUCACAAGUCAGACAAGUUUCGUUGGAGCAACACUGGUUGACCCGAAUGGGAUCACGAGGUCAGUGCUCCAUGGUGUGGGUACGGUAUUGGACAGCCCGUCCAGACCUCAGUAGGUGGUCAACCGUAAUAAUGAUAAUAAUGAUGGAAGAACUCGUCUUGCGCAAACAUCACAAGAUGUCACGUAUAUGACAUGUUAGCCAUGGGAUGGCUAUGAGAUGAGUGGUCGGAUGACCACAUGAGUUGGAUUGGAUUUGGAUCACAUUCAGAUUGGAUCAUGAGAAUAUUCAGAGUAUAAUUUAUUUACUUAAUAUGCUUUACCUUACCGUAUUUACUUUAGUAGUUAUCUUGCUACAUAAUCCUCUUAUUUCAUGAUAUUAAAUCCUGCUAGAUAGGUAAGCUAUGCCAUGAUAAGUAAUAUUGCCCUAAUAAUAAAUGCAUGCUUGAAUGCCAUGGAUUGCUUUCCUUAGUGUAUAUGUUAGUUUGAUUUGCUUGUGAGUACAUUCAAAAGUACUCAGCAGCUUUUAACAUGGCCAGCUUCACAUAAGGAUUCGUCGUCCGUCAUCAAAGAACCGGAGUGUUCGCGGGCUAGAGGAGUAACCUAGUUAGAUCCUUGCGGAUUGGAUCCGCACCAAGACCAUGCUGCCUUAGAUAGAGAUUUCCGCUGCCAUCACCCUUGUAGCUCAUCAUGUAAGACUCUUAUAUCCAUUUAAAGAAAUGUCUGUGUUCAUGAUACUUGUUGUAAACACGCAUGCCAGAGUGAUUUCCUGGGCUGGUAUGCAUGGCGACUGUCUGGCUACAGUGGUAAUCAGGCAGGGCGCCACAAACGUGCAGGAGUGCAAAGGGCGAUGGGCCCAUGACCCUUGCGCUCUUAGGAUGUACACCGUCAAGCUGUCCUCUGUGUUGAGCUUAGGUAGGGAGACGACGUGUUGAUCUCCCUGAGGUCAGGCAUGACCUAGGAAUGUGUGUCCAGCUAGAGUUGAUCGAGCGUGUUGGGAAAUGUGGUGCACCCGUGCAAGGAUGAAUUGAGCUAUUCUAAUAGUCGUGUCCACGGUAACAUGAUGUCUUGGAGUUGUAUCUCGAUCUAAUACAACUAGAACUGUGACUUAACUUGAAUGUUGGCUCUGAUAUUGAUUUCUCGCACAGAGUCGAGAAAGGAUCUCUGGGCGUACUUAAUAAAUUUGCUGCAACAAUAUGACUACAUAUGUUUUACUCAUCUAUACUCUUCUAAUGCUGCAAGACACUGAAGAUGCUAGUCUUUGAUAGGACUAGGCCUUCUCUUUAUUCUCACAUUACUUCAAUCAGUCCAAAGAUAUAGCCCUUUCCUUUGAUACUGAUGCAUACUUAGCAUAGUUUUGAUGUCAGUCUUGCGAGUACUUUGGAUUAGUACUCAUCGUUGCUUUGCUCCCUAUUUUCCUCUAGAUACGAUUUCUGUUACGAGAAGACAGAGCCCAGGAGAGGGUUGACCCCGUCGAUGACUACUAUCUCGACGGAGCCUACUACUACGUGGAGGCUGAUGACGACAAGGAGUAGUUAGGAGUCUCCCAUGCAGAAGGACUUGCCUUUUUGAUCCUUUGCUUAUGUUUGUGCUAGCCUUCUUAAGUAAAAACUUGUUUACUUAUGUCUGUAGUCAGAUAUUUGUUGCUUCCACUAACUAAUGUGUAUACGAGCUUAUGUAUUCGAUCCCUCGAGGCCCGUGGCUUGUAAUAUGAAGCUUAUAUGACUUUAAAUUGUGUGUAGAGUUAUGUUGUGAUAUCUUCCUGUGAGUACAUCCAUAGUUAGUACUUAGUACCUAGAUGGCUAUCUCUCUCUCUCUAUGUUCUUCAUUGCCAUGAUCAUCGCGAUUCUCGUGGUGAUUUAUCUUAUGUAAUCACUUUGUACGGUACGUUUGUUUGGAUCCGAUGAUUAUGGGUUUCUGUUCAGAUUAUUCAUGAAUAAUAUGCGAGUCUUCUAUGAAUUCUAAUAAGCAUGAUUAUGAUAGCUUUGUAAUUCUCUCUGAUCUAUUGAUUUGGUUUGGCCAACUAGAAAGAUCUAUCUUGCGUGAGAGAGGUUCGUUGUAGUGGGUUCAAUCUUGCGGUGCCCAAUCCCAAUGACAGAAAGGGACAUGACACGUAUUAUAUUGCUUCCACUAAGGGUAAAAUGAUGGGGUCGAGUCACAUUAAUUGGAUUUAAUCAUUCUACAUCAUGUCAUUUUCUCUAAGCAUUACUCUAUUUCACUUAAUACUCUAGAUGCAUGCUGGCUUGCGGUCG
This 39537-nucleotide long non-coding RNA is filed under the name Hordeum vulgare. RNAcentral's name for it is "long non-coding RNA (HVUL_LNC004873)". The stretch from base 29699 to 29834 matches the Rfam family "MIR1120/MIR1122 microRNA precursor family". Lineage: Eukaryota; Viridiplantae; Streptophyta; Magnoliopsida; Poales; Poaceae. The record is from RNAcentral.